Molecule: unclassified non-coding RNA, 2004 nt
Filed under: Hevea brasiliensis (rubber tree)
Lineage: Eukaryota; Viridiplantae; Streptophyta; Magnoliopsida; Malpighiales; Euphorbiaceae
Source: RNAcentral
ACCAUACAAGUUUGGUUAAAGGAUCAUGGACCUGUAAAUUUUCGAUUUCUGCUACUUUACUCUUCUUGGUUAUUUUGUGCAAUUGGGUUUACUACUAUGGUUUCAUUGUAAACCAAAUUCUAUGGGUCUUUCCUAAAGAUUUCUGAAUUUUAAGUUGUAUGAAUUUCUAUGUAGAAGUUGCUGCUCGACUUGUCCAUUUCCGUCAAUAAUAACAUGGUUUCUGUGUUUUUCAUGCCUGGCUAUAUGCUAACCUUUUUCUUCAAUAUUCAAAACUAAUGUUUUAAUCUUGUAAUGAUCCAUAUUAUUAAGGAAUCUUAAUCAUGUGAGUGCUAACUUUUUCAAUAUCUGUGCUUUCACCUUUUUUUUCCUAGAGGAUAAGGGAUUUGAAGAUGCCAAACCUGUGAUACCAGUACCAUACUCCUCAUUUGGAAUUGAUCAAGAUUCAAGGAUUAACUCUGCCUAGAACCAGACUUGUCUGCAGUUUUUGGGUCUGGUGUAAAAUAACAUCACCCAGCCAUUUUGCGAUUGAUAGUGUAGACCCACUCUUAGCCUUACUUCAACAGCUUCAACCGUGUGUGAAACGCAAAUUCAGCAGUUAUGGGAGGUCAUGGAGGUCUUAACAUCCUUCCUCAAAAGCGGUGGAAUGUAUACAACUAUGAGAAUAGAGAAAAAGUCCGGCGAGAUGAGGAAGCCGCCGCUAGAGAAGAGCAAUUAAAGCGUGAGCAGUCAAGAAAGCGCGAUGCUGAGUUUCGCCUUGAGCAGCUACGGACUGCUCGUGGUUUGCUUCCGCUAAAUAAACCAGAAGUGGAGCCAGAGCCGAAGCCAGAGCAAUCAGAGCCCAAGUCCAACCACAUUAAUCUCUUUGAAGGGAUCAAGAUUUUUGACCCAGUUAAGGGAUUGGAGAAAGAAGGGGAUGCUGAGAGGGAUGGGUUUAGAAAGAAGAAGAUGAAGAAAGAGGAGGUGAGAGUUGUGACUGCUGAGGAUGAGAAGUAUAGGUUGGGUUAUGGGGUUGCCGGAAAAGGAGUUAAGUUGCCCUGGUACCUCGAGAGACGCAGUGAUGAUGUGAAUGAGAAGGAUGAAGAUGAUGGGUCGAUGAGAGGGAAGGAGGUUAUGAAGAAGAGUGGCAAGAAGACAUUGGAAGAACUAAGAGAGGAAAGAUUGAAAAGGGAAAAGCAGGAAAAAGAGAGGGAACGGGCAUUGUUGGAGAAGAAGCAGAGAGAUAGAGCUGGUUUUAGGAGUGGAAUGUUUUCCAGGAGGUGAGGUUAUUGAAGUGUUUAUUAUAUUAAUGUAUUUUGUCUCGUUUUAAAGGUUUAUAAGCAUGAAAUUUGGUCUCUCGGUCAGCAUAUUAAUUUGAUUGUUGAUCCUGAUAUAUUGUUUGUAGUUGCAUUGCUAUCUUUUUUGUCUAGUGUAAGAGCCUUUUAGGCUUCAUUUGGUGUUUUCUAGUCUGUUCUACAUGCUGCUUUGAGAAUUUAUCAUUUGUGUUCUAAAUACCCUUAGAAAAACUGAAAAGAAUCAAAAUAUAAAGCCUUCAGCUGUGUCAUAUAUAUGGCCAAUGAAUCUCUGGUGAUACUUAGCCUGCUUGUUUUAGGCUUAUGUUAACUUAUCUGAUAACAUUUUGGGAAGUAGUUCUACAUUUGAGGAGUGGUUGCAUCUAUACGGUAUCUAUUACUGUCUUGACCUGCAUUCACAAAGUAAAUAGUGGCUUUGUAAGUCUAUGUCUUGGAAACACUACUAGAUCCAUUGCCUCGUUCCUGUAGUUUUAUGUAAUUUUAGAACCUUGAACUAUUGACGUUGGACAGAGCCAACUUUUGUAAAUUGAUGGUUGUGUUUUUAUUGCAACCCCUCUCAAAUGGAAGGUAGGUUGUGGAUGGACUAGAUAAUUUCAAGCCAAGUCUUUGCUUUAAGAUUCUUUUAUCAUCAUUGAAUUUUGCCACAAUUUAAAUGGAAGUAUUAUAAGAGUGCGUAACUCAGCUAUGGUGAUCAAGGCUGGUGAGUCAGAAUUAU